AGUGAACGCUGGCGGUAGGCCUAACACAUGCAAGUCGAACGGCAGCACAGUAAGAGCUUGCUCUUACGGGUGGCGAGUGGCGGACGGGUGAGGAAUACAUCGGAAUCUACUUUUUCGUGGGGGAUAACGUAGGGAAACUUACGCUAAUACCGCAUACGACCUACGGGUGAAAGCAGGGGAUCUUCGGACCUUGCGCGAUUGAAUGCGCCGAUGUCGGAUUAGCUAGUUGGCGGGGUAAAGGCCCACCAAGGCGACGAUCCGUAGCUGGUCUGAGAGGAUGAUCCGCCACACUGGAACUGAGACACGGUCCAGACUCCUACGGGAGGCAGCAGUUGGGAAUAUUGGACAAUGGGCGCAAGCCUGCACCAGCCAUACCGCGUGGGUGAAGAAGGCCUUCGGGUUGUAAAGCCCUUUUGUUAGGAAAGAAAAGCAGCAGGUUAAUACCCCGCUGUUCUGACGGUACCCAAAGAAUAAGCACCGGCUAACUUCGU
This 491-nucleotide ribosomal RNA is filed under the name uncultured bacterium. RNAcentral describes it as "partial 16S ribosomal RNA". It matches the Rfam family "Bacterial small subunit ribosomal RNA", at positions 29 to 506 of the family's 1533-position model. The record is from RNAcentral.